This 65-nucleotide small nucleolar RNA is filed under the name Dipodomys ordii (Ord's kangaroo rat). Its description in RNAcentral is "Small nucleolar RNA SNORA73 family (ENSDORG00000022222.2)". Lineage: Eukaryota; Metazoa; Chordata; Mammalia; Rodentia; Heteromyidae. The record is from RNAcentral.
AGCCUGUGAAUUCCUACGAGUUCCCAGAGUCCUGUGAACUAUGACUGGACUAUAAACCAUGCAGG